This 303-nucleotide ribosomal RNA is filed under the name uncultured bacterium. RNAcentral's name for it is "partial 16S ribosomal RNA". It matches the Rfam family "Bacterial small subunit ribosomal RNA", at positions 507 to 807 of the family's 1533-position model. The record is from RNAcentral.
AGCAGCAGCCGCGGUAAUACGUAUGUCGCGAGCGUUAUCCGGAAUUAUUGGGCAUAAAGGGCAUCUAGGCGGCCGGAUAAGUCUGGGGUGAAAACUUGCGGCUCAACCGCAAGCCUGCCCUGGAAACUAUGCGGCUAGAGUACUGGAGAGGUGGACGGAACUGCACGAGUAGAGGUGAAAUUCGUAGAUAUGUGCAGGAAUGCCGAUGAUGAAGAUAGUUCACUGGACGGUAACUGACGCUGAAGUGCGAAAGCUAGGGGAGCAAACAGGAUUAGAUACCCCAGUAGUCCCUGUCUCUUAUAC